RNAcentral lists this ribosomal RNA (1058 nucleotides) under uncultured bacterium. Its description in RNAcentral is "bacterial SSU rRNA". It matches the Rfam family "Bacterial small subunit ribosomal RNA", at positions 8 to 1064 of the family's 1533-position model. The record is from RNAcentral.
AGAGUUUGAUCCUGGCUCAGGAUGAACGCUGGCGGCGUGCUUAACACAUGCAAGUCGAACGGGAAGCGGUGUAUUUUUACUUUGGUAAUUUUGCGCCGUGGAGAGUGGCGAACGGGUGCGUAACACGUAGGUAACCUGCCCUGAAAUGGGGGAUAACCAUGGGAAGCUGUGGCUAAUACCGCAUAAUCUCGCCGGGACGGGAGUACCGGUGAGGAAAGCUGAGGCGAUUUGGGAGGGGCCUGCGGUCGAUUAGCUGGUUGGUGGGGUAAAGGCCCACCAAGGCGAUGAUCGAUAGCUGUUCUGAGAGGAAGACCAGCCACACGGGAACUGAGACACGGUUCCGACUCCUACGGGGGGCAGCAGUGAGGAAUAUUGCGCAAUGGGGGAAACCCUGACGCAGCAACGCCGCGUGGAGGACGAAGGUUUUCGGAUUGUAAACUCCUUAUCUGGGGGAAGAGAGAGGACGGUACCCCAGGACGAAGACACGGCUAACUAGGUGCCAGCAGCCGCGGUAAUACCUAGGUGUCGAGCGUUAUCCGGAAUUACUGGGCGUAAAGGGUGCGCAGGCGGCGAUACAAGUCUGGCGUGAAAGCUUCUGGCUUAACUGGGAGAGGACGUUAGAAACUGUAUGGCUAGAGUGAAUGAGAGGGGGGCGGAAAUCCCGGUGUAGUGGUGGAAUGCGUAGAUAUCGGGAAGAACACCAGAGGCGAAGGCGGCCUCCUGGCAUUUUACUGACGCUGAGGCACGAAAGCGUGGGUAGCGAACGGGAUUAGAUACCCCGGUAGUCCACGCUGUAAACGAUGUGAACGAGGUGUGGGCGGUGUAGAAGCCGUCUGUGCCGGAGCAAACGCGAUAAGUUCACCGCCUGGGGAGUACGGUCGCAAGGCUAAAACUCAAAGGAAUUGACGGGGGCCCGCACAAGCAGCGGAGCGUGUGGUUUAAUUCGAUGCAACGCGAAGAACCUUACCUGGGCUUGACAUGUACGUAGUAGUGAAGGGAAACCGGAACGAGCCUUCGGGCAGCGUAGACAGGUGCUGCAUGGCUGUCGUCAGCUCGUG